GACGAACGCUGGCGGCGUGCCUAAUACAUGCGAGUAGAACGCUGAAGGAGGAGCUUGCUUCUCCGGAUGAGUUGCGAACGGGUGAGUAACGCGUAGGUAACCUGCCUGGUAGCGGGGGAUAACUAUUGGAAACGAUAGCUAAUACCGCAUAACAGUAGAUGUUGCAUGACAUUUGCUUAAAAGGUGCAAUUGCAUCACUACCAGAUGGACCUGCGUUGUAUUAGCUAGUUGGUGAGGUAACGGCUCACCAAGGCGACGAUACAUAGCCGACCUGAGAGGGGGAUCGGCCACACUGGGACUGAGACACGGCCCAGACUCCUACGGGAGGCAGCAGUAGGGAAUCUUCGGCAAUGGACGGAAGUCUGACCGAGCAACGCCGCGUGAGUGAAGAAGGUUUUCGGAUCGUAAAGCUCUGUUGUAAGAGAAGAACGAGUGUGAGAGUGGAAAGUUCACACUGUGACGGUAUCUUACCAGAAAGGGACGGCUAACUACGUG
RNAcentral lists this ribosomal RNA (495 nucleotides) under uncultured bacterium. RNAcentral's name for it is "partial 16S ribosomal RNA". It matches the Rfam family "Bacterial small subunit ribosomal RNA", at positions 28 to 507 of the family's 1533-position model. The record is from RNAcentral.